Molecule: ribosomal RNA, 433 nt
Filed under: uncultured bacterium
Lineage: Bacteria
Description: partial 16S ribosomal RNA
Rfam family: Bacterial small subunit ribosomal RNA
Source: RNAcentral
AACGAACGCUGGCGGCAUGCCUAACACAUGCAAGUCGAACGAGACCUUCGGGUCUAGUGGCGCACGGGUGCGUAACGCGUGGGAACCUGCCCUUAGGCUCGGAAUAACUCCCCGACAGGGGUGCUAAUACCGGAUAAUGUCUUCGGACCAAAGAUUUAUCGCGUUUGGAUGGGCCGGCGUUGGAUUAGCUAGUUGGGAGGGUAAAAGCCUACCAAGGCGAGGAUCCAUAGCUGGUCUGAGAGGAUGAUCAGCCACACUGAGACUGAGACACGGCCCAGACUCCUACGGGAGGCAGCAGUGGGGGAUACUGGACAAUGGGGGAAAGCCUGAUCCAGCAAGGCCGGGUGAGUGAUGAAGGUCUGAGAGUUGUAAAGCUCUUUUACCCGGGAUGAUAAUGACAGUACCGGAAGAAUAAGCUCCGGCUAACUCCGUG